Molecule: ribosomal RNA, 301 nt
Filed under: uncultured bacterium
Lineage: Bacteria
Description: partial 16S ribosomal RNA
Rfam family: Bacterial small subunit ribosomal RNA
Source: RNAcentral
CAGCAGCCGCGGUAAUACGUAGGGUGCAAGCGUUAAUCGGAAUUACUGGGCGUAAAGCGUGCGCAGGCGGUUAUAUAAGUCAGAUGUGAAAUCCCCGGGCUCAACCUGGGAACUGCAUUUGAGACUGUAUGGCUAGAGUGUGUCAGAGGGGGGUAGAAUUCCACGUGUAGCAGUGAAAUGCGUAGAUAUGUGGAGGAAUACCGAUGGCGAAGGCAGCCCCCUGGGAUAACACUGACGCUCAUGCACGAAAGCGUGGGGAGCAAACAGGAUUAGAUACCCCAGUAGUCCCUGUCUCUUAUAC